This 771-nucleotide ribosomal RNA is filed under the name Oceanobacillus sp. RNAcentral's name for it is "bacterial SSU rRNA". It matches the Rfam family "Bacterial small subunit ribosomal RNA", at positions 74 to 822 of the family's 1533-position model. The record is from RNAcentral. Lineage: Bacteria; Bacillati; Bacillota; Bacilli; Caryophanales; Bacillaceae.
UCCCCUUCGGGGGUGACGCUUGUGGAAUGAGCGGCGGACGGGUGAGUAACACGUGGGCAACCUGCCUGUAAGAUUGGGAUAACCCCGGGAAACCGGGGCUAAUACCGGAUAACACUUUUUGUUGCAUGACGAGAAGUUGAAAGGCGGCUUCGGCUGCCACUUACAGAUGGGCCCGCGGCGCAUUAGCUAGUUGGUAAGGUAACGGCUUACCAAGGCGACGAUGCGUAGCCGACCUGAGAGGGUGAUCGGCCACACUGGGACUGAGACACGGCCCAGACUCCUACGGGAGGCAGCAGUAGGGAAUCUUCCGCAAUGGACGAAAGUCUGACGGAGCAACGCCGCGUGAGUGAUGAAGGUUUUCGGAUCGUAAAACUCUGUUGUUAGGGAAGAACAAGUCGGGUAGUAACUGACCCGGCCUUGACGGUACCUAACCAGAAAGCCCCGGCUAACUACGUGCCAGCAGCCGCGGUAAUACGUAGGGGGCAAGCGUUGUCCGGAAUUAUUGGGCGUAAAGCGCUCGCAGGCGGUCCUUUAAGUCUGAUGUGAAAUCUCGCGGCUCAACCGCGAACGGUCAUUGGAAACUGGAGGACUUGAGUACAGAAGAGGAGAGUGGAAUUCCACGUGUAGCGGUGAAAUGCGUAGAGAUGUGGAGGAACACCAGUGGCGAAGGCGACUCUCUGGUCUGUAACUGACGCUGAGGAGCGAAAGCGUGGGGAGCGAACAGGAUUAGAUACCCUGGUAGUCCACGCCGUAAACGAUGAGUGCUAGGUG